RNAcentral lists this ribosomal RNA (253 nucleotides) under uncultured bacterium. RNAcentral describes it as "partial 16S ribosomal RNA". It matches the Rfam family "Bacterial small subunit ribosomal RNA", at positions 524 to 776 of the family's 1533-position model. The record is from RNAcentral.
UACGUAGGGAGCGAGCGUUGUCCGGAUUUACUGGGUGUAAAGGGUGCGUAGGCGGUUUUUCAAGUCAGAAGUGAAAUCCAUGGGCUUAACCCGUGAACUGCUUUUGAAACUGGAAGACUUGAGUGAAGUAGAGGUAGGCGGAAUUCCCGGUGUAGCGGUGAAAUGCGUAGAGAUCGGGAGGAACACCAGUGGCGAAGGCGGCCUACUGGGCUUUAACUGACGCUGAGGCACGAAAGCGUGGGUAGCAAACAGG